GACGAACGCUGGCGGCGUGCCUAAUACAUGCAAGUAGAACGCACAGUUUAUACCGUAGCUUGCUACACCAUAGACUGUGAGUUGCGAACGGGUGAGUAACGCGUAGGUAACCUGCCUGGUAGCGGGGGAUAACUAUUGGAAACGAUAGCUAAUACCGCAUAAUAUUAAUUAUUGCAUGAUAAUUAAUUGAAAGGUGCAAUUGCACCACUACCAGAUGGACCUGCGUUGUAUUAGCUAGUAGGUGAGGUAACGGCUCACCUAGGCGACGAUACAUAGCCGACCUGAGAGGGGGAUCGGCCACACUGGGACUGAGACACGGCCCAGACUCCUAAGGGAGGCAGCAGUAGGGAAUCUUCGGCAAUGGACGAAAGGCUGACCGAGCAACGCCGCGUGAGUGAAGAAGGUUUUCGGAUCGUAAAGCUCUGUUGUAAGAGAAGAACGGGUGUGAGAGUGGAAAGUUCACACUGUGACGGUAUCUUAACAGAAAGGGACGGCUAACUACGUG
Molecule: ribosomal RNA, 505 nt
Filed under: uncultured bacterium
Lineage: Bacteria
Description: partial 16S ribosomal RNA
Rfam family: Bacterial small subunit ribosomal RNA
Source: RNAcentral